Molossus molossus (Pallas's mastiff bat) is the source of this 1588-nucleotide long non-coding RNA. RefSeq lists it as uncharacterized. Lineage: Eukaryota; Metazoa; Chordata; Mammalia; Chiroptera; Molossidae. The record is from RefSeq and is a predicted model, not a curated record. The transcript has 7 exons.
GCGCUAAACCGGCUUCUCGGCGCCAUUUUGUCUGGGCAGCGGUGGCCACAGCUCUAUCGCAUUUCAUGUUUCUGGCGAGAGGACAACGAAGUCUUUCUCCCAUAAAUUCUUUUCAGUGCGGUACCCGUCCGCAGUUCCCUCCAAUUCAGCACAUAGUGAAGGUCGGAGGAGUCGCGGGUCUGUUUAAAAGUUGGUCUGAAGAUAAUCGGAUCUCUCAGUGACAUAUAUCUGGAAAUAUUACUGAGCUGUUACUAUCCAAAUAAGAAGGCAUUUGAAAAUGACUAAAAAGCCAAAAGAAGAGCACAACUAUCUCCCAUAUUCUCUCCACCAAAAGAGUGGGCUUCAUUUUGUGGAAAAAUUAAGGAAGGUGUUCCACUUUUUAAAUACCUGGAUUUGCUGUCGUUGAAAAUUAUGUUUCUGAUGUCACUGCUGAUGCCAUGUGGAGUCAUUGGUACUGGUUUUCUUUCAUAUAUAAUUCAUACUGGAAUAACAGUAUAUUUUAGGAUUUGGAUUCAAGCUGAUAUAGGUUACUUAGUGGCAUUCCUACAUGGCAAGGAGCUAUAAUCAAGGAGCCUACUGUCAAUAAAAGGAAGAACAUAAUUAAACAUGUGGUGGAAUGGUUUUUGAACAGACACAGUGGGGUAUGAUGAACACAAAAAUGUAUUAUUGGAAAAUUACUUGGAUACAGUGUCCAGUGUGACUGAGGAAAUGACACAAGAAUUGGAGAUCCCUUUUAAGAAUGAUAGACAUAAAAGCAAGCAGUAUUGUCAGAUAAGUACUUUUUUUAGUCUAAUUAUAUUUUAUUAUUUGUAAUUUCUAAACCAAAACUUCAUUCUUUAAAACAUUUUUCUUUUUUCUUUUUUAGGUACCAGCAUCAAGGUUUACAGUAAUAAAGGUACUCAGUCUUUUCUGAAAAUAAAUUUGUAGUCUUGUACAAAGUAAAAUGUACCAGCUUUCUCUUUCCUCAGAGGCCAGUCUAUCUCAAUGGUGUAGUUACCUAGUGCCCCUACAACUGAACCUAGGUUAUUAAACCUAUAUAUAGUAUGUAUGAAAACCAAGGCCAACACUGGUGUCAUUCUGAGUUAAAUGUAUGGGUUGUAAAAUGUAACAACGAAUUUUAUAUAAAAGAAGCCAUGGCAGAUUGUUUUUGGCUUGUUUGUAUAGUAGUUAGCUAUUCAAGUAUAAUGAUUUGCUAUUUGAACUACAUAGAUGCUCAAAGUCCAGCAGUACCCUGCUGCUAAACUCACUGACUAGAUUACCUUCUUAGGAAAGCAUGACAGUUGAAUGGAGUGUUACUGGCAUGAGCCCAGCAAAUGGUGUGUACACCUGAGUACUUGGCCUGCGGUCAUAUUGUUUCUUCCUGCCGUGAAUGCUGUUUAGGUUAUGACAGUUGCUCUUGUAAGCCACAAUUCUGAAUAUUCCUCAUUAUCAGUUCUGUUUCACAGAGCACUUCCAUAUAUAUUCUCACUUAUUGAAACAUAAGUAUUUUUAUAUGAACUUUACAGAUUGAGAAAUUUCAUAAGUGACAUAAUAGCAACUUUGUGGAUACUUAAAUCCACUCACCACAAUAAAAGAAAAAAAAAAAAUU